UGCCCAGCAACUCCAAUCCUUACCUCCUCGUUGUACUGGCCGGGGUACGAGUAACCUUAGGUAAGAUCGGGUAGCCAACCCUUGGUCGGAACUCUUGUCGUAUGCUAACAUGGAAUGG
RNAcentral lists this ribozyme (118 nucleotides) under Aedes aegypti (yellow fever mosquito). Its description in RNAcentral is "drz-agam-1 ribozyme". It matches the Rfam family "drz-agam-1 ribozyme". The record is from Rfam by way of RNAcentral. Lineage: Eukaryota; Metazoa; Arthropoda; Insecta; Diptera; Culicidae.